GACGAACGCUGGCGGCGUGCUUAACACAUGCAAGUCGAACGGAAAGGCCCUGCUUUUGUGGGGUGCUCGAGUGGCGAACGGGUGAGUAACACGUGAGUAACCUGCCCUUGACUUUGGGAUAACUUCAGGAAACUGGGGCUAAUACCGGAUAGGAGCUCCUGCUGCAUGGUGGGGGUUGGAAAGCUUCGGCGGUUGGGGAUGGACUCGCGGCUUAUCAGCUUGUUGGUGGGGUAGUGGCUUACCAAGGCUUUGACGGGUAGCCGGCCUGAGAGGGUGACCGGCCACAUUGGGACUGAGAUACGGCCCAGACUCCUACGGGAGGCAGCAGUGGGGAAUAUUGCACAAUGGGCGGAAGCCUGAUGCAGCAACGCCGCGUGCGGGAUGACGGCCUUCGGGUUGUAAACCGCUUUCGCCUGUGACGAAGCGUGAGUGACGGUAAUGGGUAAAGAAGCACCGGCUAACUACGUGCCAGCAGCCGCGGUGAUACGUAGGGUGCGAGCGUUGUCCGGAUUUAUUGGGCGUAAAGGGCUCGUAGGUGGUUGAUCGCGUCGGAAGUGUAAUCUUGGGGCUUAACCCUGAGCGUGCUUUCGAUACGGGUUGACUUGAGGAAGGUAGGGGAGAAUGGAAUUCCUGGUGGAGCGGUGGAAUGCGCAGAUAUCAGGAGGAACACCAGUGGCGAAGGCGGUUCUCUGGGCCUUUCCUGACGCUGAGGAGCGAAAGCGUGGGGAGCGAACAGGCUUAGAUACCCUGGUAGUCCACGCUGUAAACGGUGGGUACUAGGUGUGGGGUCCAUUCCACGGGUUCCGUGCCGUAGCUAACGCUUUAAGUACCCCGCCUGGGGAGUACGGCCGCAAGGCUAAAACUCAAAGGAAUUGACGGGGCCCCGCACAAGCGGCGGAGCAUGCGGAUUAAUUCGAUGCAACGCGUAGAACCUUACCUGGGUUUGACAUGGAUCGGGAGUGCUCAGAGAUGGGUGUGCCUCUUUUGGGGUCGGUUCACAGGUGGUGCAUGGCUGUCGUCAGCUCGUGUCGUGAGAUGUUGGGUUAAGUCCCGCAACGAGCGCAACCCUUGUUCACUGUUGCCAGCACGUUAUGGUGGGGACUCAGUGGAGACCGCCGGGGUCAACUCGGAGGAAGGUGGGGAUGACGUCAAGUCAUCAUGCCCCUUAUGUCCAGGGCUUCACGCAUGCUACAAUGGCUGGUACAGAGAGUGGCGAGCCUGUGAGGGUGAGCGAAUCUCGGAAAGCCGGUCUCAGUUCGGAUUGGGGUCUGCAACUCGACCUCAUGAAGUCGGAGUCGCUAGUAAUCGCAGAUCAGCAACGCUGCGGGAAUACGUUCCCGGGGCU
Molecule: ribosomal RNA, 1345 nt
Filed under: uncultured bacterium
Lineage: Bacteria
Description: partial 16S ribosomal RNA
Rfam family: Bacterial small subunit ribosomal RNA
Source: RNAcentral